UACAGAGGGGGCAAGCGUUGUCCGGAAUUACUGGGCGUACAGCGCGCGCAGGCGGUCUUGGACGUGCCGUGUGACAGACGUCGGCUCAACCGACGUAGGCCAGGGUACACGACAAGACUGGAGACAGAGAGAGGGAUGUGGAAUACCCGGUGGAGCGGUGAAAUGCGUAGAUAUCUGGAGGAACACCGGUGGCGAAGGCGGCAUCCUGGACCAAUUCUGACGCUGAGGGGCGAAAGCCAGGGGAGCAAACGGG
RNAcentral lists this ribosomal RNA (253 nucleotides) under uncultured bacterium. RNAcentral describes it as "partial 16S ribosomal RNA". It matches the Rfam family "Bacterial small subunit ribosomal RNA", at positions 524 to 776 of the family's 1533-position model. The record is from RNAcentral.